This 1334-nucleotide long non-coding RNA is filed under the name Panax ginseng (ginseng). Its description in RNAcentral is "long non-coding RNA (PGIN_LNC002776)". The record is from RNAcentral. Lineage: Eukaryota; Viridiplantae; Streptophyta; Magnoliopsida; Apiales; Araliaceae.
AGAACUCCCCUACUGCUCAGCUGCACCACCCUCUUCGGGUAACGAAUCUGGUGGUGGAAAUUGCACGACGGUCCCAAACUGUGGCGACUCAAGCAUAGUCCCCUGUUGUGCAAACGGCUCCGUUAACGACCUCGUUAGACCAGUAGCAAACGCUACAAAAUUGUCUUACAUAGCAUCGACCUUCUGCUCCAACCUUCAGAGUUGUCGAUCCCUAGUAGCAGCAGUUGUUUGUGUUUAACGUGCCUGCUUUAUUUGACUUGGAGGGCUGCGAUGAAGGUGUAGACGAUGCAGGACGCAGAAUAAAACCCUUUCCUCUUGGAUGCGGUGUACCCCCUUGCCAAUAUUCAAAUCUUGCGAUUGUAGCAUGCGUAAUGUCUUGGCUGGAGAACUACAACUGCUCAUUCGUCCACCUAAUUCCUGCCUUGGCACACAAAUGCGUCACUAUUGAAGCAUGUGGAAUACUCCCUGUAGUACUUCCCCGCAUAUAUCUCAUCAUAUUCUGAUUCAUCAAGUGACCCACGUCGAUAUAUUUCCAACAAUGAUUCCCCAUAAUAUAAUUGCUCGUUCUACUGUAAUUUCAUGCUGGUGAGAAGAUGGCAUAAGUUUGGCACACACAAAGAGAUUCUAGGCUUUGGCAUAGCGAUUGAGAGUGGAAGCCGGAAAUGUCUUGGGGUGAUUCGUGCCAGGAGUGCAUGUCCAAUGGGUCCCUGGAAUACACAGAUCAGUGAUAACAACGUCCAAAUCUGUUUCCAAACGUUCUACCUCCACCUAAUUCGUUCGUCCAGCUCGAUGGUCGGGUAAAUUGAACACUUGGAGAAUGGCUCUCGGUCUGUAGUCCACUUCAAUCCCACGAACAAAAGAAAACCCAUUCAUUGUUUCCCUCGCAUUUGCGUAAAACUCCCGCACAACAGCCAUAUGUGCAGCCGUCGGUGUAGAGCACUCACCAUGCCAACACCUUUCUCUAAUCAUCUACACUAACUGUCCAUCCUGCGCAUCUGGCUUAAACCCUCGUUCACGAACAAAUGACUUCUCCACAAUUCGAUAGUAUUUAAUUUGAGCAUCCAAGUUGAUAAACUUUGAUAAAUCAACAUUAUCCCCACUUUGCAUGCUUGAAGAUGAUGAUUCAGGGGUAUGGGAUCUCGUACGCUUAGGACCCAUUUGAGACUGAUAAGGAAGAAGAAUAAGACUUGCCUGAUAGUUAGUGAUAGUCGAAGACUGAAUACCCCCAAACUGAUUUCGCACAACCCACUCUGAAACCCAAGUUUUUAUCAGUGUAGCUAUUGAUCGUGGGUAUGAGAUUUGAUGCAAAAAUCACAUAGUGGAGAAGAGACAUU